UACGGAGGAUCCGAGCGUUAUCCGGAUUUACUGGGUUUAAAGGGUGCGUAGGCGGGCGCCUAAGUCAGCGGUGAAAUGCAGCGGCUCAACCGUUGAACUGCCGUUGAAACUGGGCGCCUUGGAUGCGGUCGAGGCCGGCGGAAUGCGUGGUGUAGCGGUGAAAUGCUUAGAUAUCACGCAGAACGCCAAUUGCGAAGGCAGCUGGCCGGGCCGCAAUCGACGCUGAGGCACGAAAGCGUGGGGAUCAAACAGGAUUAGAUACCCUGGUAGUCCACGCCGUAAACGAUGAUGGCUAGCUGUUGGCGAUACACAGUCAGCGGCUGAGCGAAAGCGGUAAGCCAUCCACCUGGGGAGUACGGUCGCAAGAUUGAA
This 372-nucleotide ribosomal RNA is filed under the name uncultured bacterium. RNAcentral describes it as "bacterial SSU rRNA". It matches the Rfam family "Bacterial small subunit ribosomal RNA", at positions 524 to 898 of the family's 1533-position model. The record is from RNAcentral.